ACUGAUUUGGCAGAAUUUGAGUGCAUUAAAUUUAGGAUUUAAUUAUAUUGUGUUUAAACAUUAGUUAGUA
Molecule: transfer RNA, 70 nt
Filed under: Extatosoma tiaratum (giant prickly stick insect)
Lineage: Eukaryota; Metazoa; Arthropoda; Insecta; Phasmatodea; Phasmatidae
Description: tRNA-Leu
Rfam family: tRNA
About the family: Transfer RNA (tRNA) molecules are approximately 80 nucleotides in length. Their secondary structure includes four short double-helical elements and three loops (D, anti-codon, and T loops).
Source: RNAcentral